RNAcentral lists this ribosomal RNA (474 nucleotides) under uncultured organism. Its description in RNAcentral is "partial 16S ribosomal RNA". It matches the Rfam family "Bacterial small subunit ribosomal RNA", at positions 335 to 800 of the family's 1533-position model. The record is from RNAcentral.
ACUCCUGCGGGAGGCAGCAGUGGGGAAUUUUGGACAAUGGGCGAAAGCCUGAUCCAGCAAUGCCGCGUGUGUGAAGAAGGCCUUCGGGUUGUAAAGCACUUUUGUCCGGAAAGAAAUCCUUGGCUCUAAUACAGUCGGGGGAUGACGGUACCGGAAGAAUAAGCACCGGCUAACUACGUGCCAGCAGCCGCGGUAAUACGUAGGGUGCGAGCGUUAAUCGGAAUUACUGGGCGUAAAGCGUGCGCAGGCGGUUUGCUAAGACCGAUGUGAAAUCCCCGGGCUCAACCUGGGAACUGCAUUGGUGACUGGCAGGCUAGAGUAUGGCAGAGGGGGGUAGAAUUCCACGUGUAGCAGUGAAAUGCGUAGAGAUGUGGAGGAAUACCGAUGGCGAAGGCAGCCCCCUGGACCAAUACUGACGCUCAUGCACGAAAGCGUGGGGAGCAAACAGGAUUAGAUACCCGAGUAGUCCCAUGA